UGGGGAAUAUUGCACAAUGGGGGAAACCCUGAUGCAGCAACGCCGCGUGAGUGAUGAAGGUUUUCGGAUCGUAAAGUUCUAUCUUUGGGGAAGAUAAUGACGGUACCCGAGGAAGAAGCCACGGCUAACUACGUGCCAGCAGCCGCGGUAAUACGUAGGUGGCGAGCGUUAUCCGGAUUUACUGGGCGUAAAGGGAGCGUAGGCGGAUGAUUAAGUGGGAUGUGAAAUACCCGGGCUCAACUUGGGUGCUGCAUUCCAAACUGGUUAUCUUGAGUGCCGGAGAGGAGAGUGGAAUUCCUAGUGUAGCGGUGAAAUGCGUAGAGAUUAGGAAGAACACCAGUGGCGAAGGCGACUCUCUGGACUGUAACUGACGCUGAGGCUCGAAAGCGUGGGGAGCAAACAG
This 403-nucleotide ribosomal RNA is filed under the name uncultured bacterium. Its description in RNAcentral is "bacterial SSU rRNA". It matches the Rfam family "Bacterial small subunit ribosomal RNA", at positions 355 to 775 of the family's 1533-position model. The record is from RNAcentral.